AUGUCGACGAAGCGGAAGGUUCGGAGGAUACAGCUGGAGACAGGCUGUCAACAACAAAGUCCCACUCAUCACACCUCUCUUUCUUCCUUUCAUUCCCAUUUCUCUCAAUCGAUUAGGGUUUUCUCAUCCACUCUCCCAACUCGAUCAACAUUAUCAUCACUAUGCUUGACUUGGGGGAUAAAUCCUAGUGCAUUUCUGCUGUAG
Non-coding RNA from Vicia faba (fava bean), 204 nucleotides. The record is from the annotation of a GenBank genome assembly. NCBI's taxonomy places the organism in Eukaryota, Viridiplantae, Streptophyta, Magnoliopsida, Fabales, Fabaceae.